Molecule: ribosomal RNA, 197 nt
Filed under: uncultured bacterium
Lineage: Bacteria
Description: partial 16S ribosomal RNA
Rfam family: Bacterial small subunit ribosomal RNA
Source: RNAcentral
ACGCUCGACACCUACGGGAGCAGCAGUGGGGAAUAUUGCACAAUGGGGGAAACCCUGAUGCAGCGACGCCGCGUGAGUGAAGAAGUAUUUCGGUAUGUAAAGCUCUAUCAGCAGGGAAGAAAAUGACGGUACCUGAGUAAGAAGCCCCGGCUAACUACGUGCUAGCAGCCGCGGUAAUCUGAGCGGGCUGGCAAGGC